This 254-nucleotide ribosomal RNA is filed under the name uncultured bacterium. Its description in RNAcentral is "partial 16S ribosomal RNA". It matches the Rfam family "Bacterial small subunit ribosomal RNA", at positions 524 to 776 of the family's 1533-position model. The record is from RNAcentral.
UACAGAGGGUGCGAGCGUUGUUCGGAAUUACUGGGCGUAAAGCGCGCGCAGGCGGCCUUUUAAGUCUCGUGGUGAAAUGCCGGGGCUCAACCCCGUGCCCGCCGGAGAUACUGGGAGGCUGGAGACGAGUAGAGGCAAGCGGAAUUCCGGGUGUAGCGGUGGAAUGCGUAGAGAUCCGGAAGAACACCGGAGGCGAAGGCGGCUUGCUGGGCUCUGUCUGACGCUGAGGCGCGAAAGCGUGGGGAGCGAACAGG